CCCUGGCAUAGUCAGUUAUAAUCUUAACAGUGCUAAAAUGAAAACACGUCUUUGAGUAUUGCUUUCAUUGAUAAAUAAUAGUUUUUGUUGUGGUUUAUUUGCUUAAAGGGUUAGUGAUGGUUUCACGAUGUAAAUAUGCUGAUGAGUGAUUGUGUGUGAGAGGAUUUGGGUGGUCGAGCCAUUUGCUUAUCCUCGUCGACGGUUCACGAGCCCGAAACAAGUGACGUCGGCGACCACGACAGCACGACCUGCCACUUGGCUCCGAUCUCUACACCUGUUCACUUCAUUUCAAAAAAGGGAGAACAAUAUUUGUCUGUCGAGCGCGGUGAGAGCCAUCUCAAAAUAAAAGAAGGUCAAUUGCUUUCUCCCAGGGAGCAGCCUGGAGCACAAGCGGGGACGAUGCCCGCUCGCCGAGCCCGAGUGAACCCCAUCCUCUGAAGGGAGGCAAUGCUCUGUCGUCCUCGGAGCAGGAGCACUAGCAGGAAAGAGGUCCUUCCUGAAGCAGAAGCAAAUCCCGAACUGCAAGCAAAACCGAAACACGUGGCUUGAGCAGGAGAGAAGGUUAUCCAACCAGUGCGGGUGACACUCAUCCGUUCUGCGCUGCGCAGAUGAAGGGUGCUCAACGAGCAGGGGUGAGCGUGUUAUGUGUAGCCCUCAGUCUCCUGCUUAUCAGUCUGGCAUGGGGGUUAAUAGAAUACAGGCUUCGCCAGAGCUUGUGACUACCAGGAAUAAACCAAGAAACUGGCUCGAAGCAAUAAAGAGAGGACUGUCACAGAAUAUGCCUCUAGACCAGUUGACGCAACUGGUUUGUGUAGAUUUCUGGAAUUUCCCGGAAUAAAAUAUUUGAAUAUAUGAUCGAGUUUUGGU
Molecule: long non-coding RNA, 867 nt
Organism: Penaeus monodon (black tiger shrimp)
Lineage: Eukaryota; Metazoa; Arthropoda; Malacostraca; Decapoda; Penaeidae
Exons: 2
Source: RefSeq, a predicted model, not a curated record